This 567-nucleotide ribosomal RNA is filed under the name uncultured archaeon. RNAcentral's name for it is "bacterial SSU rRNA". It matches the Rfam family "Archaeal small subunit ribosomal RNA", at positions 312 to 879 of the family's 1478-position model. The record is from RNAcentral.
CGCGAAUCGCCCUUCGGGGUGCACCAGGCGCGAAAACUUUACAAUGCCGGCAACGGCGAUAAGGGGACCUCGAGUGCCAGGUUACAAAUCUGGCUGUCGAGAUGCCUAAAAAGCAUUUCAUAGCAAGGGCCGGGCAAGACCGGUGCCAGCCGCCGCGGUAACACCGGCGGCUCGAGUGGUAACCGUUAUUAUUGGGUCUAAAGGGUCUGUAGCCGGCCGGAUAAGUCUCUUGGGAAAUCCAGCAGCUCAACUGUUGGGCUUUCAGGAGAUACUGUCUGGCUCGAGGCCGGGAGAGGUGAGAGGUACUUCAGGGGUAGGGGUGAAAUCUUGUAAUCCUUGAAGGACCACCAGUGGCGAAGGCGUCUCACCAGAACGGACCUGACGGCAAGGGACGAAAGCUAGGGGCACGAACCGGAUUAGAUACCCGGGUAGUCCUAGCCGUAAACGAUACUCGCUAGGUGUCGGCCACGGUGCGACCGUUGUCGGUGCCGUAGGGAAGCCGUGAAGCGAGCCACCUGGGAAGUACGGCCGCAAGGCUGAAACUUAAAGGAAUUGGCGGGGGAGCAC